AUGCAUUUUUGGUCAGACGUGAGUUCAGAGAUUUGUUUCACAAGUCAGUUUAAAAAAAAUCCUCCAUUUUUAAAUAAAUUUAUCAAACUGAAACAAAUCUUUGAACUCAUAUCUGAUCAAAGAUGUAAUUUUUUGAAAAAUAAAACCCAUGACUCAAGUUCAUAUGAACUAUAUGAACUUACGUCAUGGGUUAUGAUAGCACAAGCUCAUGUGACAUGAUUGCAGUGUGAUUCUGGACUAAGAUUUGUCCAGAAACACACUGCACUGUCUCUCUUGCGUUGCCGAUAUUUAAGACAUUAUUAAAUAAUAUUUUAAAACUUUUUAAAACGUGUUGUGGUUAUUGUUGUGGAUCGAUUGUACUGUUUUCAUUGCUGUCUGGCAACACUUGAAACAACAGAAAGCACACAAAAAAAGAACAAAGAGGAUUGUUGUAUGUUGAGUUGUAUCUUAUUCGGUUGUAACUUACAAGGGGAGGUCGCAGUUGUCGGGUCCGGGAUUUGGACAGUUUUUAUAUAUGUUGGUCUGCAGUCGGGAU
This 535-nucleotide long non-coding RNA is filed under the name Androctonus crassicauda. Lineage: Eukaryota; Metazoa; Arthropoda; Arachnida; Scorpiones; Buthidae. The record is from RNAcentral.